AACCCUCAGGCCCCCAGUGCCUGGCGUUGGGGAUCGGCGUGGGCCGGGUGGGCGUCCUCCGGGACGUCUCCCGCGCCUGCCGGCCCCGAAAUUCAGUGGCGGUCUCGCUGUAGUCCCCCUCUGCGUAGUAGCACAACUCGCAUUGGAGCUCGGCGGUGGCCAUGCCGU
This 168-nucleotide ribosomal RNA is filed under the name Halenospora multiseptata. RNAcentral describes it as "Scytalidium multiseptatum partial 28S ribosomal RNA". The record is from RNAcentral. Lineage: Eukaryota; Fungi; Ascomycota; Leotiomycetes; Helotiales; Solenopeziaceae.